Non-coding RNA from Meloidogyne enterolobii, 67 nucleotides. Lineage: Eukaryota; Metazoa; Nematoda; Chromadorea; Rhabditida; Meloidogynidae. The record is from the annotation of a GenBank genome assembly.
GGACGUGGUGUAAUGGAUAACACAUAAGUCCGGUCUACUGAAGAUGCUGGUUCGCUCCCAGCCGCCG